Molecule: regulatory RNA element, 94 nt
Organism: Rhodobacter sp.
Lineage: Bacteria; Pseudomonadati; Pseudomonadota; Alphaproteobacteria; Rhodobacterales
Rfam family: Rhodo-rpoB RNA
Source: Rfam
GGCUCGGGAGCGCAUCGGUGGGACGAUGCGCAGGUAUGGGGCCGCUUCCUCCUUCAUUCGCCUGCGGCGCGCACCGGGCCCCGACGAUGCGCAC